RNAcentral lists this long non-coding RNA (246 nucleotides) under Physcomitrium patens. Its description in RNAcentral is "long non-coding RNA (PPAT_LNC008804)". The record is from RNAcentral. Lineage: Eukaryota; Viridiplantae; Streptophyta; Bryopsida; Funariales; Funariaceae.
CUUUCAAAAACGAAUUAAUAUCUAUUCUACAUAGUCCUACUUCUAUUUAUGGAGCAUCCUCGUAAACACUCAAUUGAUACCUAUCUAAAAAUUAUCUAACAAAUCUCUAUAAAAAUUGCGAUCCCUCUGGCCUAUUUAAUUAAUCAAUUACCGUAGAAUCUGUUAUUGGUUCCACCAAUUCCGAUUCCAACUACAAAUCUUUGUCCUCAUCCAAUCCUUCUAUUGGCUCCUGCCUCAAUUGAGCUG